GGUCCCUACGGGGGGCAGCAGUGGGGGAUAUUGCACAAUGGGGGGAACCCUGAUGCAGCGACGCCGCGUGGGUGAAGAAGCGCCUCGGCGCGUAAAGCCCUGUCAGCAGGGAAGAAAAUGACGGUACCUGAAGAAGAAGCCCCGGCUAACUACGUGCCAGCAGCCGCGGUAAUACGUGGGGGGCAAGCGUUGUCCGGAUUUACUGGGUGUAAAGGGCGUGCAGCCGGAGAGACAAGUCAGAUGUGAAAUCCACGGGCUCAACCCGUGAACUGCAUUUGAAACUGUUUCCCUUGAGUGUCGGAGAG
This 305-nucleotide ribosomal RNA is filed under the name uncultured bacterium. RNAcentral describes it as "partial 16S ribosomal RNA". It matches the Rfam family "Bacterial small subunit ribosomal RNA", at positions 334 to 656 of the family's 1533-position model. The record is from RNAcentral.